GUAUUAAAGGUGACGCCUGCCCAGUGAUCUAUUUUAACGGCCGCGGGAUCCUUCACCGUGCAAAGGUAGCAUAAUCACUUGUCCUCUAAAUAAGGACUAGUAUGAAUGGCCACAUGAGGGUUUACCUGUCUCUUGCAAUCAAUCAGUGAAACUAAUAUCUUAGUACAAAAGCUAAAAUAAAACCAUAAGACGAAAAGACCCUGUGGAACUUUCAAACGACAGACAACCUAUNUCUCCCUCACUUUUAGUUGGGGCAACUUUGGAAAAAAACACAACUUCCACUAACUUYAAGGUGGACACACCUACUNAUCCCAUUAUUGACCCAGUAUUACUGAUUAAAGAACCAAGCUACCCCAGGGAUAACAGCGCUACCCCCUCUUAGAGCCCCCAUCGAUGAGGGGGUUUACGACCUCGAUGUUGGAUCAGGGCCCCCAAACAGUGCAGAAGCUGUUAACGGUUUGUUUGUUCAACAAUUAAUGCCCUACGUGAUCUGAGUUAAG
Molecule: ribosomal RNA, 500 nt
Filed under: Bachia bresslaui
Lineage: Eukaryota; Metazoa; Chordata; Lepidosauria; Squamata; Gymnophthalmidae
Description: partial 16S ribosomal RNA
Rfam family: Bacterial large subunit ribosomal RNA
Source: RNAcentral